This 32-nucleotide ribosomal RNA is filed under the name Aconitum monticola. RNAcentral's name for it is "partial 5.8S ribosomal RNA". Lineage: Eukaryota; Viridiplantae; Streptophyta; Magnoliopsida; Ranunculales; Ranunculaceae. The record is from RNAcentral.
UAGGUCGAGGGCACGUCUGCCUGGGCGUCACA